RNAcentral lists this unclassified non-coding RNA (492 nucleotides) under Fusarium oxysporum. RNAcentral's name for it is "sequence contains ITS1, 5.8S rRNA gene, ITS2". The stretch from base 127 to 280 matches the Rfam family "5.8S ribosomal RNA". Lineage: Eukaryota; Fungi; Ascomycota; Sordariomycetes; Hypocreales; Nectriaceae. The record is from RNAcentral.
CCUGUGAACAUACCACUUGUUGCCUCGGCGGAUCAGCCCGCUCCCGGUAAAACGGGACGGCCCGCCAGAGGACCCCUAAACUCUGUUUCUAUAUGUAACUUCUGAGUAAAACCAUAAAUAAAUCAAAACUUUCAACAACGGAUCUCUUGGUUCUGGCAUCGAUGAAGAACGCAGCAAAAUGCGAUAAGUAAUGUGAAUUGCAGAAUUCAGUGAAUCAUCGAAUCUUUGAACGCACAUUGCGCCCGCCAGUAUUCUGGCGGGCAUGCCUGUUCGAGCGUCAUUUCAACCCUCAAGCACAGCUUGGUGUUGGGACUCGCGUUAAUUCGCGUUCCCCAAAUUGAUUGGCGGUCACGUCGAGCUUCCAUAGCGUAGUAGUAAAACCCUCGUUACUGGUAAUCGUCGCGGCCACGCCGUUAAACCCCAACUUCUGAAUGUUGACCUCGGAUCAGGUAGGAAUACCCGCUGAACUUAAGCAUAUCAAUAAGCGGAGGA